Molecule: small RNA, 26 nt
Filed under: Bombyx mori (domestic silkworm)
Lineage: Eukaryota; Metazoa; Arthropoda; Insecta; Lepidoptera; Bombycidae
Description: ovarian small RNA-22909
Source: RNAcentral
UAGUAGCUUAGUGGGGUGCUGUUAGG